AUAAUACUCCCUCCGUCCGAGAAAACUUGUCCCAAGCUUGUCCCUCAAAUGGAUGUAUCUAGCACUAACUUGGUGCUAGGUACAUCCAUUUGAGGGACAAGCUUUUUCGGACGGAGGGAGUACAUA
This is a non-coding RNA of Triticum aestivum (bread wheat), 126 nucleotides long. The record is from Rfam. Lineage: Eukaryota; Viridiplantae; Streptophyta; Magnoliopsida; Poales; Poaceae.